CAGCUCCAGACCAGAGAAAGUUAAUGCCAAAGAUAUUAUUCGGUUCCACACUAAAACUGCGCUUUGACAAGUGUGAUUUGAGAAAUAAAACUUGUAGACCUUUACUACAGUCUCUGAGGAGAUGGACACCUCUUCUUGUUCUGGACGAUCUCCGUCUCCUACUGGGACUGUCUUCUUACCCCCUCCUAUCAUGUGGAACAGUCUCUACAAGCAGGCAGAGAUGGAGGUUCAGUUCCUGAGAGAAGAGAAGAAGACCUGUACAGAGAAGGAAGCCCACAUGCUUGAGUUGAGGGGAAGGAUCGAACGAUCCGAAAUCAGAAGAAGGAGAUGGACAGACUUCAAGUCUGCCUCUGGGAGGAGGAAAAGAAGAAGAGGAAUGGUGGAACGGAGAAGGACAAGAUCAUUGAACAUCUACAGUCUGAGACAGACCAUCUCAGAUCCCUUUUAAAAGAGGAAAGGAGGAGAAGAAGAGUAGAAAGGGAUCUAAUGAAUGAGUGGAAGGCUGAGAUCCUGAGACUGAGGGAGUCAGAGAGCCAGAGAGAGGCAGAGAGCCAGUGGGAGGCAGAGAGACAGAGGGAGGCA
Molecule: long non-coding RNA, 582 nt
Organism: Salmo salar (Atlantic salmon)
Lineage: Eukaryota; Metazoa; Chordata; Actinopteri; Salmoniformes; Salmonidae
Source: RefSeq, a predicted model, not a curated record